RNAcentral lists this ribosomal RNA (694 nucleotides) under uncultured bacterium. RNAcentral describes it as "bacterial SSU rRNA". It matches the Rfam family "Bacterial small subunit ribosomal RNA", at positions 647 to 1340 of the family's 1533-position model. The record is from RNAcentral.
UACGGGAGAGGAGAGCGGAAUUCUCGGUGUAGCGGUGAAAUGCGCAGAUAUCGAGAAGAACGCCAGCGGCGAAGGCGGCUCUCUGGAACGAUACUGACGCUGAGGCACGAAAGCUGGGGUAGCGAAGAGGAUUAGAUACCCUCGUAGUCCCAGCCGUAAACGAUGUGCACUUGGUGUGGGUGGGUUUGUCCCCAUCCGUGCCGGAGUUAACGCGUUAAGUGCACCGCCUGGGGAGUACGGUCGCAAGGCUAAAACUCAAAGGAAUUGACGGGGGCCCGCACAAGCGGUGGAGCAUGUGGCUUAAUUCGAUGCAACGCGAAGAACCUUACCAGGGUUUGACAUGGCGACUCUUCGGAGGUGGGAGUGAAAGCUCCCUUUACGAUCACAGGUGCUGCAUGGCUGUCGUUAGCUCGUGCCGUGAGGUGUUGGGUUAAGUCCCGCAACGAGCGCAACCCUUGUGAAUAGUUGCCACUUCGUCUUCGGACGGAAGCACUCUAUUCAGACUGCCGGUGACAAGCCGGAGGAAGGUGGGGAUGACGUCAAGUCAGUAUGGCCCUUAUACCCUGGGCUGCACACGUGCUACAAUGGGUGGUACAACAGGAAGCUAAGCCGCGAGGUGUAGCAAAUCCCUAAAACCAUCCCCAGUUCGGAUCGAAGUCUGCAACUCGACUUCGUGAAGCCGGAAUCGCUAGUA